This 306-nucleotide ribosomal RNA is filed under the name uncultured bacterium. Its description in RNAcentral is "partial 16S ribosomal RNA". It matches the Rfam family "Bacterial small subunit ribosomal RNA", at positions 507 to 809 of the family's 1533-position model. The record is from RNAcentral.
GACAGCAGUCGCCGCGGGAAUACGUAGGGUGCGAGCGUUAAUCGGAAUUACUGGGCGUAAAGCGUGCGCAGGCGGUUGUGUAAGACAGGUGUGAAAUCCCCGGGCUUAACCUGGGAACUGCGCUUGUGACUACACAGCUAGAGUAUGGCAGAGGGGGGUGGAAUUCCACGUGUAGCAGUGAAAUGCGUAGAGAUGUGGAGGAACACCGAUGGCGAAGGCAGCCCCCUGGGCCAAUACUGACGCUCAUGCACGAAAGCGUGGGGAGCAAACAGGAUUAGAUACCCGCGUAGUCCUGUCUCUUAUACA